This is a long non-coding RNA of Chroicocephalus ridibundus (black-headed gull), 716 nucleotides long. RefSeq lists it as uncharacterized. The record is from RefSeq and is a predicted model, not a curated record. The transcript has 3 exons. Lineage: Eukaryota; Metazoa; Chordata; Aves; Charadriiformes; Laridae.
AUACAUUAUGUCCUGAUUCAGGAAUAAUAAGAAAUUACAUCUCACAUAAUACGCAUGAAGUAAAUCCAGCUUCAACCUCCUUUUUGAUCGCCCAGGUCCAUCAGGAGAUGAGAAGGGUGGAAAGGCGUAAGAAAGCACCUCCAGGGUCCUGGAGGAUGCAAAUGCAGAGCAACAUACCAACUAAAAAAACUAGGCUUAUUUCAGCAGACUUUCUAAUAUAGAGUUGUCAUACGUGCACCAAGGACUGGCAAUGAAAGAUCCGUUUCUGACACAGUACCAUUUGUCCCAUCAAAGACAGUCCUGUGGUAUUAAGGUUAUUACGCCCGGAGAACCAAGACCCAGCUGGCACCACUAAAUUUAGCAGAACAUGAGGCCACGUGGGAAUUUCUUACAGAUGGCAGUCAUCUCAUCUGCACUGGAAAAGAUGAUAUCUUCCACUGCAUUUCUUAAAAAGUCACUAGCUUGAAUGUCGACUGAGGCUGUGAUGAAUUACGAAUCCAUAAAACCAAGAGGGCACCAGUGAACUGGCAGGACUGUGCGAAUAAAACAGCAGAGCUGGUACCAACUUGAUCUCCCGUCCUCGGGAAUGGAAGAACUGCCUGUUUCAGGCGCAUUCAACACUUCCAUUUAUAAGGCCCUGUUUUUAGAAGCUCCUACCUUUAAUUAUUUGAACUGCUCUUUCCAUUUUGGACUUCUACCCCAGGUACCACCUUUCC